Molecule: ribosomal RNA, 253 nt
Filed under: uncultured bacterium
Lineage: Bacteria
Description: partial 16S ribosomal RNA
Rfam family: Bacterial small subunit ribosomal RNA
Source: RNAcentral
UACGGAUGGUGCAAGCGUUAUCCGGAUUCACUGGGCUUAAAGGGUGCGUAGGCGGAUAGGUAAGUCCGUGGUGAAAUCCUGCAGCUUAACUGCAGAACUGCCGUGGAUACUCUCUAUCUUGAAUAUCGUGGAGGUUAGCGGAAUAUGUCAUGUAGCGGUGAAAUGCUUAGAUAUGACAUAGAACACCCAUUGCGAAGGCAGCUAACUGCGCGAUCAUUGACGCUGAUGCACGAAAGCGUGGGGAUCAAACAGG